Molecule: long non-coding RNA, 407 nt
Filed under: Homo sapiens (human)
Lineage: Eukaryota; Metazoa; Chordata; Mammalia; Primates; Hominidae
Description: non-protein coding lnc-TP53TG3-66:5
Source: RNAcentral
GCGUAGUGCAGCCCGUCCCUAGCGGUGGGCUGUCACAAAUCCUCCUCUGCAUCCCAGGAGUGCCGCUUGGUCCUCGGGCUCGCAGCGUGGCCCACACCUGGGUCGGGCCUCUCACGGGGACGCUCCCGCCACUGUGAUAAAGAGGAGAAAACGUCACAGGGGAAGGGCCUGACCCUGCUGCAUCCAUUUUUUAGAUUAAGUACUGCACGACUACUCGCUUCUGAAACUGUCAUAAGAAACUGCCUCAGCUCCCUGCAGGGUGGACACACAAGAGCAGAAUCUCCGUGGGACAUCUCUUUGGAGCAUCAAUAUUACUACAGUAUUUGGAAGACACAAAUUUAAAUAAUUUCUAAGGUAAAGAAUGGAACAUUUAAGACAAGGCUGGAAAGUCAUCUGCCUUUAAUAAC